RNAcentral lists this long non-coding RNA (412 nucleotides) under Sorghum bicolor (sorghum). RNAcentral describes it as "long non-coding RNA (SBIC_LNC004237)". Lineage: Eukaryota; Viridiplantae; Streptophyta; Magnoliopsida; Poales; Poaceae. The record is from RNAcentral.
CAACAAGUCCAUCAUACAACAAACGUGUGUGCGUUCCUUUGCACAAAACUGUGCUCAUCGUCUAUCUAACAAACAGAUAAAGAAACAUCAAGUGAUCCAUCGUAUCAUCAGAAAGAUCAUAUCAUCCUCUCCUGGCAUGCUUUCACGCAGCAAUUCAAGAUACACUCGAUUAAUCCUCUACCCUGACGGCUGCCCGCAGACGACUUGAUCUUCCUUAAUUCGCACCACCAUUGUCAGACCCGUCCCGGCUGCCAAACCUUCAAUCACCAUAGCAGAUGGAUACCAGACCACAUGUUAGUAGUUAACAACAAUAGGACUUCAGCCCAUUUCUUUGAUUUUUGACAAGAUAAGAUCGAUCGAGCACAAAUGGGUGAAUUUCUUAAAUUCUAAGGCCAAGACUAAUAAGACACAA